Molecule: ribosomal RNA, 324 nt
Filed under: Triticum aestivum (bread wheat)
Lineage: Eukaryota; Viridiplantae; Streptophyta; Magnoliopsida; Poales; Poaceae
Description: partial small subunit ribosomal RNA
Source: RNAcentral
AUGUCCUGCGGAGGCUGCUCGGGAGCGGUUAAAAGGGUGCUCACCAAAAUGGAAGGCGUCGAGAGCUUCGACAUCGACAUGGAGCAGCAGAAGGUGACCGUGAAGGGCAACGUCAAGCCAGAAGAUGUUUUCCAGACGGUCUCCAAGACCGGGAAGAAGACCGCCUUCUGGGAGGCCGAAGCCACUCCUGCACCGGACGCUACCCCGGCCGCUCCUGCAGCGGAGGCAGCCCCGGCAGCAGACGCCGCGCCUGCACCGGAGGCUGCCCCAGCAGCAGACGCCGCGCCUGCACCGGAGGCAACCCCGGCCAACACCGUCGCUUGA